Molecule: non-coding RNA, 155 nt
Filed under: Zea mays
Lineage: Eukaryota; Viridiplantae; Streptophyta; Magnoliopsida; Poales; Poaceae
Description: Bacterial large subunit ribosomal RNA
Rfam family: Bacterial large subunit ribosomal RNA
Source: Rfam by way of RNAcentral
CCUAGGAUUGGCUUUGGGCUUUUCCUGCGUAGCUUAAGUGAAAGGCGAAGAAGGCCCCCUUCUAGGGGGGUGAGCCAUCAAUGCGAUACCACUCUAGAAGAGCUCAGAUUCUAACCUUGUGUCAGACCCGUGGGCCAAGGGACAGUCACAGGUAG